This 34-nucleotide ribosomal RNA is filed under the name Candida albicans. RNAcentral describes it as "partial 18S ribosomal RNA". The record is from RNAcentral. Lineage: Eukaryota; Fungi; Ascomycota; Pichiomycetes; Serinales; Debaryomycetaceae.
CCUUCCGUAGGGGGGAACUGCGGAAGGAUCAUUA